GUUGACAAAAACAGCAAGUAGCCUGCCUGUGGUCCCGGCUACUCAGGAGACUGAGGUGGGGGAUGGCUUGGGCCCAGAAGUUCUGGGCUAUGGUGCGCUAGGCUGAUCAAGUAUCUGCACUGCAUUCAGCACCAGCAUGGUGACCUCCCAGGAGCAGAAGACCACCAGGCCGCCUAAGGCCUGGUGAACCACCCUAAGUCACAAAUGCAGCAGGUCAAAACUCUCGUGCUGAUCAGUGGGGGAAUCACAUGCCUGAAUAGCCACUGUACUCCAGCCUGGGCAACACAGCAAGACCCUAUCUCCU
This 304-nucleotide signal recognition particle RNA is filed under the name Pan troglodytes (chimpanzee). It matches the Rfam family "Metazoan signal recognition particle RNA". Rfam says of the family: The signal recognition particle (SRP) is a universally conserved ribonucleoprotein. It is involved in the co-translational targeting of proteins to membranes. Lineage: Eukaryota; Metazoa; Chordata; Mammalia; Primates; Hominidae. The record is from RNAcentral.